GAGAGAGAGAGAGAGAGAGAGAGACGCACGCGCAAAGCAUAAAAUAUGUGGUGCAAAGUUACGUAUGUAUAUACUUGUUCCGUUGCGCAACCGUCACGGAAAGAGGAACACGAGCAGCGCGUUUCACGUGUUUUCGCGCGACAAACGCGACAUGCACGCGUCCCGGGGGCAUGUCUCUAAUUUGUCCGCGAUAUAACGCAAAUUGCGUCACGCUUGCAUCCCGACGCUGCCGGUUUUGCGGCCGCGCCGAAAACACCCACCGCCCGAUUUCCAUAAAUUUUGCAUAUACGUGUCGCGCGGCGAAUUGAUUGUCUUAACGAGAGAGGAGAAGCGUGUGCACGCACGCGCUUCGAACAACUGCGUCGAUUAUAAUCGAAUGGCUGUCGUUUACCGACCGUCCCACUCGGUAUAAGCGAGAAAUUAUCACUGCACGACGUUGUCGCAAUGAUAUUUUGUGACAUGUAACGUUUUCAAGAAUAUUUGGCGGGUGAUCGGUUCACUUCUUUCGCAGAAAUCGAAAAUUGGCUCCUAACUUGGAUCGCCUCAAAAGACGAGACAUUUUUUCGAGAUGUAAUUCGAAAAUUGCCUGAGAGGAAUAUUUGGCGGGUCACCGAUUCACUUCUUUCGCAGAAAUCGAAAAUACAUUGGGAGUACAAAUUAGUUCGGUCCGUUCUCAAAAGA
Dinoponera quadriceps is the source of this 681-nucleotide long non-coding RNA. RefSeq lists it as uncharacterized. NCBI's taxonomy places the organism in Eukaryota, Metazoa, Arthropoda, Insecta, Hymenoptera, Formicidae. The record is from RefSeq and is a predicted model, not a curated record. The transcript is spliced from 3 exons.